GACGAACGCUGGCGGCGUGCUUAACACAUGCAAGUCGAACGAUGAACCCGGAGCUUGCUCUGGGGGAUUAGUGGCGAACGGGUGAGUAACACGUGAGUAACCUGCCCUGGACUCUGGGAUAAGCGUUGGAAACGACGUCUAAUACCGGAUAGGACCUUGGAUCGCAUGAUCUGGGGUGGAAAGUUUUUUCGGUCUGGGAUGGACUCGCGGCCUAUCAGCUUGUUGGUGAGGUAAUGGCUCACCAAGGCGUCGACGGGUAGCCGGCCUGAGAGGGUGACCGGCCACACUGGGACUGAGACACGGCCCAGACUCCUACGGGAGGCAGCAGUGGGGAAUAUUGCACAAUGGGCGAGAGCCUGAUGCAGCAACGCCGCGUGCGGGAUGACGGCCUUCGGGUUGUAAACCGCUUUUAGUAGGGAAGAAGGGCUUCGGCUUGACGGUACCUGCAGAAAAAGGACCGGCUAACUACGU
This 471-nucleotide ribosomal RNA is filed under the name uncultured bacterium. Its description in RNAcentral is "partial 16S ribosomal RNA". It matches the Rfam family "Bacterial small subunit ribosomal RNA", at positions 28 to 506 of the family's 1533-position model. The record is from RNAcentral.